This 429-nucleotide ribosomal RNA is filed under the name Chloroflexota bacterium. Its description in RNAcentral is "Chloroflexi bacterium partial 16S ribosomal RNA". It matches the Rfam family "Bacterial small subunit ribosomal RNA", at positions 355 to 776 of the family's 1533-position model. Lineage: Bacteria; Bacillati; Chloroflexota. The record is from RNAcentral.
UGGGGAAUAUUGCACAAUGGGCGCAAGCCUGAUGCAGCCAUGCCGCGUGUAUGAAGAAGGCCUUCGGGUUGUAAAGUACUUUCAGUCGGGAGGAAGGUGUCAAGGUUAAUAACCUUAUCAAUUGACGUUACCGACAGAAGAAGCACCGGCUAACUCCGUGCCAGCAGCCGCGGUAAUACGGAGGGUGCAAGCGUUAAUCGGAAUUACUGGGCGUAAAGCGCACGCAGGCGGUUGAUUGAGUCAGAUGUGAAAUCCCCGGGCUUAACCCGGGAAUUGCAUCUGAUACUGGCAAGCUUGAGUCUCGUAGAGGGGGGUAGAAUUCCAGGUGUAGCGGUGAAAUGCGUAGAGAUCUGGAGGAAUACCGGUGGCGAAGGCGGCCCCCUGGACGAAGACUGACGCUCAGGUGCGAAAGCGUGGGGAGCAAACAGG